CACACUAUCAUUAACUGAAUCCAUAGGUUAAUGAGGCGAACCGGGGGAACUGAAACAUCUAAGUACCCCGAGGAAAAGAAAUCAACCGAGAUUCCCCCAGUAGCGGCGAGCGAACGGGGAGGAGCCCAGAGCCUGAAUCAGUGUGUGUGUUAGUGGAAGCGUCUGGAAAGGCGCGCGAUACAGGGUGACAGCCCCGUACACAAAAAUGCACAUACUGUGAGCUCGAUGAGUAGGGCGGGACACGUGGUAUCCUGUCUGAAUAUGGGGGGACCAUCCUCCAAGGCUAAAUACUCCUGACUGACCGAUAGUGAACCAGUACCGUGAGGGAAAGGCGAAAAGAACCCCGGCGAGGGGAGUGAAAAAGAACCUGAAACCGUGUACGUACAAGCAGUGGGAGCCUCUUUAUGGGGUGACUGCGUACCUUUUGUAUAAUGGGUCAGCGACUUAUAUUCUGUAGCAAGGUUAACCGAAUAGGGGAGCCGAAGGGAAACCGAGUCUUAACUGGGCGUUAAGUUGCAGGGUAUAGACCCGAAACCCGGUGAUCUAGCCAUGGGCAGGUUGAAGGUUGGGUAACACUAACUGGAGGACCGAACCGACUAAUGUUGAAAAAUUAGCGGAUGACUUGUGGCUGGGGGUGAAAGGCCAAUCAAACCGGGAGAUAGCUGGUUCUCCCCGAAAGCUAUUUAGGUAGCGCCUCGUGAAUUCAUCUCCGGGGGUAGAGCACUGUUUCGGCAAGGGGGUCAUCCCGACUUACCAACCCGAUGCAAACUGCGAAUACCGGAGAAUGUUAUCACGGGAGACACACGGCGGGUGCUAACGUCCGUCGUGAAGAGGGAAACAACCCAGACCGCCAGCUAAGGUCCCAAAGUCAUGGUUAAGUGGGAAACGAUGUGGGAAGGCCCAGACAGCCAGGAUGUUGGCUUAGAAGCAGCCAUCAUUUAAAGAAAGCGUAAUAGCUCACUGGUCGAGUCGGCCUGCGCGGAAGAUGUAACGGGGCUAAACCAUGCACCGAAGCUGCGGCAGCGACACUAUGUGUUGUUGGGUAGGGGAGCGUUCUGUAAGCCUGCGAAGGUGUACUGUGAGGUAUGCUGGAGGUAUCAGAAGUGCGAAUGCUGACAUAAGUAACGAUAAAGCGGGUGAAAAGCCCGCUCGCCGGAAGACCAAGGGUUCCUGUCCAACGUUAAUCGGGGCAGGGUGAGUCGACCCCUAAGGCGAGGCCGAAAGGCGUAGUCGAUGGGAAACAGGUUAAUAUUCCUGUACUUGGUGUUACUGCGAAGGGGGGACGGAGAAGGCUAUGUUGGCCGGGCGACGGUUGUCCCGGUUUAAGCGUGUAGGCUGGUUUUCCAGGCAAAUCCGGAAAAUCAAGGCUGAGGCGUGAUGACGAGGCACUACGGUGCUGAAGCAACAAAUGCCCUGCUUCCAGGAAAAGCCUCUAAGCAUCAGGUAACAUCAAAUCGUACCCCAAACCGACACAGGUGGUCAGGUAGAGAAUACCAAGGCGCUUGAGAGAACUCGGGUGAAGGAACUAGGCAAAAUGGUGCCGUAACUUCGGGAGAAGGCACGCUGAUAUGUAGGUGAAGCGACUUGCUCGUGGAGCUGAAAUCAGUCGAAGAUACCAGCUGGCUGCAACUGUUUAUUAAAAACACAGCACUGUGCAAACACGAAAGUGGACGUAUACGGUGUGACGCCUGCCCGGUGCCGGAAGGUUAAUUGAUGGGGUUAGCGGUAACGCGAAGCUCUUGAUCGAAGCCCCGGUAAACGGCGGCCGUAACUAUAACGGUCCUAAGGUAGCGAAAUUCCUUGUCGGGUAAGUUCCGACCUGCACGAAUGGCGUAAUGAUGGCCAGGCUGUCUCCACCCGAGACUCAGUGAAAUUGAACUCGCUGUGAAGAUGCAGUGUACCCGCGGCAAGACGGAAAGACCCCGUGAACCUUUACUAUAGCUUGACACUGAACAUUGAGCCUUGAUGUGUAGGAUAGGUGGGAGGCUUUGAAGUGUGGACGCCAGUCUGCAUGGAGCCGGCCUUGAAAUACCACCCUUUAAUGUUUGAUGUUCUAACGUUGGCCCCUGACCGGGGUUGCGGACAGUGUCUGGUGGGUAGUUUGACUGGGGCGGUCUCCUCCUAAAGAGUAACGGAGGAGCACGAAGGUUGGCUAAUCCUGGUCGGACAUCAGGAGGUUAGUGCAAUGGCAUAAGCCAGCUUGACUGCGAGCGUGACGGCGCGAGCAGGUGCGAAAGCAGGUCAUAGUGAUCCGGUGGUUCUGAAUGGAAGGGCCAUCGCUCAACGGAUAAAAGGUACUCCGGGGAUAACAGGCUGAUACCGCCCAAGAGUUCAUAUCGACGGCGGUGUUUGGCACCUCGAUGUCGGCUCAUCACAUCCUGGGGCUGAAGUAGGUCCCAAGGGUAUGGCUGUUCGCCAUUUAAAGUGGUACGCGAGCUGGGUUUAGAACGUCGUGAGACAGUUCGGUCCCUAUCUGCCGUGGGCGCUGGAGAACUGAGGGGGGCUGCUCCUAGUACGAGAGGACCGGAGUGGACGCAUCACUGGUGUUCGGGUUGUCAUGCCAAUGGCACUGCCCGGUAGCUAAAUGCGGAAGAGAUAAGUGCUGAAAGCAUCUAAGCACGAAACUUGCCCCGAGAUGAGUUCUCCCUGACUCCUUGAGAGUCCUGAAGGAACGUUGAAGACGACGACGUUGAUAGGCCGGGUGUGUAAGCGCAGCGAUGCGUUGAGCUAACCGGUACUAAUGAACCGUGAGGCUUAACCUU
RNAcentral lists this ribosomal RNA (2762 nucleotides) under Escherichia coli. RNAcentral's name for it is "partial 23S ribosomal RNA". It matches the Rfam family "Bacterial large subunit ribosomal RNA". The record is from RNAcentral. Lineage: Bacteria; Pseudomonadati; Pseudomonadota; Gammaproteobacteria; Enterobacterales; Enterobacteriaceae.